Molecule: long non-coding RNA, 1216 nt
Organism: Astatotilapia calliptera (eastern happy)
Lineage: Eukaryota; Metazoa; Chordata; Actinopteri; Cichliformes; Cichlidae
Source: Ensembl
AUACAGUAUAACUGGCAAAACCAGAGUUUGUCAGAUUCUAAUGGCCUAGAAAGUCAAUAUCUGGUAUGACCACCUUUAUACUUCAACACAACAGGAACUCUUUCAGGUAAGCUUUCUUGUAAUUUCUUUAAGGCAUCAUCAAGAACAGUGCUCUGGGCUUUUUGAAUGAAAUUCACAGCUCUACUUUGGAUAUUGGCUGCUUGUUUGUUCUGUUCUUUGUCAAGGUGAUCCCACACUGCUUCACUAAUGCUUAUGUCCAGGGCUGUGGGGAGAGCAGUCCACAACUCACAGUGUAUAUUAUUCCAUCCAGGCAUGUUUUGUACCUCAUUGGCACUGUGUUUUGAAUCACUGUCACACUGAAAAGGGAAGCCUUUCUAGUUGGCAAUACAUGGUGGAUCCUAAUCUGAUGGUACUUUUCUGCAUUCGUAACUCCAUUACACUCCUCAACACCACUGGCUAAAAUGCAGCACCAAACAAUGACAGAGCCACCACCAUUCUUUUUUUUUUUUUUUUUUUUACAGAUAAUGGACUGAUUCUUAUAUUCAACCAUCCUUCCAUUAAGACCACUUCUGGUGAGGCUUUGACGAACAGUACUGUAGAUGGAUUGGCUGAAUUGUCAAAAGCAUUUCUCAGGUCCUGUCUCAGGUCUUUUCUGGAUUUUUCCCUAUUGCUUAAGGACAUGUCUUCUGAUACUGUUCAUCUGCUGUAGAUUAUUUUUAAGGGUUGCCGCUUUUUCUUUUGCCCUCCACUUUUCCAGUUUCCUCAGUGACACCCUGCACACCAACCAAAUAUAUGCCAAGUUUUUGGUUCAUAGCUCUUUUGGAAACAUGUUGCUGGUGCAAAAUUACUAUUUUAUGCCGGUCUGUGUUAUUGGUGGCAUUUAACUAAAGAAAUGAGAACAAAAAGUUUAUUUUUGCAGCAGGUCACUGCUAACAAAUUGCUUAAAGCUACAAUUUAAAAUGUUCUUUUCUAAGUUGUCUGUUAUGUGUGGACACAUCACUGGUCCAUCACUUAAGUUAGGUAUCUUUUUAUGCUUGAGUGAUGCAGAGAACAAACAAACAUACAAACAAAAAUAAUAAGGUACAAGGACCCGACUAAUAGUGAAUGAAAAAGCAGCUAAAGUCCACAAAAAGACCUUCAGGAAGCCUGUUGAACUACUGCUCAAGACCACUUAAAAAUGUCCAAAAAGUCUGGUGGAACAUUUGCACAGUACCUU